GACGAACGCUGGCGGCGUGCUUAACACAUGCAAGUCGAACGCUGAAGCCUGGCUUUUGUUGGGUGGAUGAGUGGCGAACGGGUGAGUAACACGUGAGUAACCUGCCCUCUUCUUUGGGAUAACGCCCGGAAACGGGUGCUAAUACUGGAUAUUCACUUGCCUUCGCAUGGGGGUGGGUGGAAAGGGUUUUUUCUGGUGGGGGAUGGGCUCGCGGCCUAUCAGCUUGUUGGUGGGGUGAUGGCUUACCAAGGCUUUGACGGGUAGCCGGCCUGAGAGGGUGACCGGUCACAUUGGGACUGAGAUACGGCCCAG
Molecule: ribosomal RNA, 312 nt
Filed under: uncultured bacterium
Lineage: Bacteria
Description: bacterial SSU rRNA
Rfam family: Bacterial small subunit ribosomal RNA
Source: RNAcentral